Molecule: ribosomal RNA, 587 nt
Filed under: uncultured bacterium
Lineage: Bacteria
Description: partial 16S ribosomal RNA
Rfam family: Bacterial small subunit ribosomal RNA
Source: RNAcentral
UGGGGAAUUUUGGACAAUGGGCGAAAGCCUGAUCCAGCAAUGCCGCGUGUGUGAAGAAGGCCUUCGGGUUGUAAAGCACUUUUGUCCGGAAAGAAAUCCUUGGCUCUAAUACAGUCGGGGGAUGACGGUACCGGAAGAAUAAGCACCGGCUAACUACGUGCCAGCAGCCGCGGUAAUACGUAGGGUGCAAGCGUUAAUCGGAAUUACUGGGCGUAAAGCGUGCGCAGGCGGUUUGCUAAGACCGAUGUGAAAUCCCCGGGCUCAACCUGGGAACUGCAUUGGUGACUGGCAGGCUAGAGUAUGGCAGAGGGGGGUAGAAUUCCACGUGUAGCAGUGAAAUGCGUAGAGAUGUGGAGGAAUACCGAUGGCGAAGGCAGCCCCCUGGGCCAAUACUGACGCUCAUGCACGAAAGCGUGGGGAGCAAACAGGAUUAGAUACCCUGGUAGUCCACGCCCUAAAACGAUGUCAACUAGUUGUUGGGGAUUCAUUUCCUUAGUAACGUAGCUAACGCGUGAAGUUGACCGCCUGGGGAGUACGGUCGCAAAGAUUAAAACUCAAAGGAAUUGACGGGGUCAUAGCUGUUUCCU